This 459-nucleotide ribosomal RNA is filed under the name uncultured bacterium. RNAcentral describes it as "partial 16S ribosomal RNA". It matches the Rfam family "Bacterial small subunit ribosomal RNA", at positions 338 to 795 of the family's 1533-position model. The record is from RNAcentral.
CCUACGGGAGGCAGCAGUGAGGAAUAUUGGUCAAUGGUCGGGAGACUGAACCAGCCAAGCCGCGUGAGGGAGGAAGGUACAGAGUAUCGUAAACCUCUUUUGUCAGGGAACAAAGACUGGGACGCGUCCCCGGAUGAGUGUACCUGAAGAAAAAGCAUCGGCUAACUCCGUGCCAGCAGCCGCGGUAAUACGGAGGAUGCGAGCGUUAUCCGGAUUUAUGGGGUUAAAAGGGUGCGCAGGCGGUCUGUUAAGUCAGCGGUCAAAGCCCGGGGCUCAACCCCGGCCCGCCGUUGAAACUGGCAGUCUCGAGUUGGAGAGAGGUAUGCGGAAUGCGCGGUGUAGCGGUGAAAUGCAUAGAUAUCGCGAAGAACUCCGAUUGCGAAGGCAGCAUGCCGGCUCCACACUGACGCUGAGGCACGAAAGCGUGGGUAUCGAACAGGAUUAGAUACCCCAGUAGUC